GAUGAACGCUGGCGGCGUGCCUAAUACAUGCAAGUCGAGCGAACGGACGAGAAGCUUGCUUCUCUGAUGUUAGCGGCGGACGGGUGAGUAACACGUGGAUAACCUACCUAUAAGACUGGGAUAACUUCGGGAAACCGUAGCUAAUACCGGAUAAUAUUUUGAACCGCAUGGUUCAAAAGUGAAAGACGGUCUUGCUGUCACUUAUAGAUGGAUCCGCGCUGCAUUAGCUAGUUGGUAAGGUAACGGCUUACCAAGGCAACGAUGCAUAGCCGACCUGAGAGGGUGAUCGGCCACACUGGAACUGAGACACGGUCCAGACUCCUACGGGAGGCAGCAGUAGGGAAUCUUCCGCAAUGGGCGAAAGCCUGACGGAGCAACGCCUCGUGAGUGAUGAAGGUCCUCGGAUCGUAAAACUCUGUUAUUAGGGAAGAACAUAUGUGUAAGUAACUGUGCACAUCUUGACGGUACCUAAUCAGAAAGCCACGGCUAACUACGUG
RNAcentral lists this ribosomal RNA (497 nucleotides) under uncultured bacterium. RNAcentral describes it as "partial 16S ribosomal RNA". It matches the Rfam family "Bacterial small subunit ribosomal RNA", at positions 28 to 507 of the family's 1533-position model. The record is from RNAcentral.